This 267-nucleotide long non-coding RNA is filed under the name Hordeum vulgare. RNAcentral's name for it is "long non-coding RNA (HVUL_LNC015180)". The record is from RNAcentral. Lineage: Eukaryota; Viridiplantae; Streptophyta; Magnoliopsida; Poales; Poaceae.
GUGUGUAUCAAAUGUCGCAAUGUAACUGGGUGACUAUAAAGGUGCUCUACAGGUAUAUCUGAAGGUGUCUGUGGGGUUGGCAUGGAUCAAGACUAGGAUUUGUCACUCCAUGUAACGGAGAGGUAUCUCGGGGCCCACUCGAUAAUACAACAUCACAACAAGCCUUGCAAGCAAUGUGACUAAGGAGUUAGUCACGUGAUAUUGUAUUACAGAACAAGGAAAAAUACUUGCAUGUAAAGAGAUUGAACAAGCUAUGGAGAUACCUAC